RNAcentral lists this unclassified non-coding RNA (705 nucleotides) under Hevea brasiliensis (rubber tree). Lineage: Eukaryota; Viridiplantae; Streptophyta; Magnoliopsida; Malpighiales; Euphorbiaceae. The record is from RNAcentral.
GAACCUUUGCAGAUUUCCUCACCAAAAAAUGAACCUCGACAUCAUUUUUAUAUUUACAGAUAUCAUCAAUAAGCCAAUGAUCCUCAAGCGGCUCACCAUCACAAACGACCUCUUGCUCAUCAAGGUCAUCAAACUCCCUCUCCUUCUUAGCAACCUGUUGUUUCACAUACCCAACAUCUCUCCCUCGCUCCACAGAAAAGGUAUAUUCUUUAUCGCUAGCAGUCUUAACCUUUAUAACCUGGAGAUCAGAAAGCCUAAGAACCAAAUGCAGAACAUUCCCAUCAGUUACACCAUAGUCACGGAUAAGAGAAUUGCUCCUUGAUAGCUCUCGGCCUCCACAGACCAGCUUUUGGUUCUUUACAACAAACCCUUUACAUGACUGAAUCCGUAGCUUCACAUAUUCAAUGGAAUCAGACUCUAAAACACGCAUUGGGCUCAUAGAGCCCCCAACAGAGAGAAAUAUCAAGAUGUACUCGGGAGUGGUUGGGCAUUCACAUAAUCAGAAGGAAGUGUGGAACCCGUGUGAAUUGGACUGAGAGCAACACCAGCAGACGACAUUUUUUUUUUCCCUUCGUUUUUUCUACACUGAUAUUUCGAUAAUUGAUUUGGAUUUUAAGGGAGUUCAAAUUAGAAGCUAUACAGGAAUCACAAGAAAUUAGACAUGUUUGUAUUGUUUAUGACCAUCUAAUUACAACAUAGAUGAUC